Molecule: ribosomal RNA, 427 nt
Filed under: uncultured bacterium
Lineage: Bacteria
Description: partial 16S ribosomal RNA
Rfam family: Bacterial small subunit ribosomal RNA
Source: RNAcentral
UGGGGAAUAUUGGACAAUGGGGGCAACCCUGAUCCAGCCAUGCCGCGUGUGUGAAGAAGGCCUUUUGGUUGUAAAGCACUUUAAGCAGUGAAGAAGACUCCAUGGUUAAUACCCAUGGACGAUGACAUUAGCUGCAGAAUAAGCACCGGCUAACUCUGUGCCAGCAGCCGCGGUAAUACAGAGGGUGCAAGCGUUAAUCGGAAUUACUGGGCGUAAAGCGAGCGUAGGUGGCUUGAUAAGUCAGAUGUGAAAGCCCCGGGCUUAACCUGGGAACGGCAUCUGAUACUGUUAGGCUAGAGUAGGUGAGAGGAAGGUAGAAUUCCAGGUGUAGCGGUGAAAUGCAUAGAGAUCUGGAGGAAUACCGAUGGCGAAGGCAGCCUUCUGGCAUCAUACUGACACUGAGGUUCGAAAGCGUGGGUAGCAAACA